GGGCUCGUAGUUCAAUGGUAGAACAUUGCCUUUGCAAGGCAGAGGUUGAGGGUUCGAUUCCCUCCGAGUCCA
This 72-nucleotide transfer RNA is filed under the name Candidatus Uhrbacteria bacterium RIFCSPHIGHO2_02_FULL_47_29. Its description in RNAcentral is "tRNA-Ala". It matches the Rfam family "tRNA". Rfam says of the family: Transfer RNA (tRNA) molecules are approximately 80 nucleotides in length. Their secondary structure includes four short double-helical elements and three loops (D, anti-codon, and T loops). Further hydrogen bonds mediate the characteristic L-shaped molecular structure. tRNAs have two regions of fundamental functional importance: the anti-codon, which is responsible for specific mRNA codon recognition, and the 3' end, to which the tRNAs corresponding amino acid is attached (by aminoacyl-tRNA synthetases). tRNAs cope with the degeneracy of the genetic code in two manners: having more than one tRNA (with a specific anti-codon) for a particular amino acid; and 'wobble' base-pairing, i.e. permitting non-standard base-pairing at the 3rd anti-codon position. Lineage: Bacteria; Candidatus Uhriibacteriota. The record is from RNAcentral.